UGAACGCUGGCGGCAGGCCUAACACAUGCAAGUCGAACGGUAACAGGAAACAGCUUGCUGUUUCGCUGACGAGUGGCGGACGGGUGAGUAAUGUCUGGGAAACUGCCUGAUGGAGGGGGAUAACUACUGGAAACGGUAGCUAAUACCGCAUAACGUCGCAAGACCAAAGAGGGGGACCUUCGGGCCUCUUGCCAUCGGAUGUGCCCAGAUGGGAUUAGCUAGUAGGUGGGGUAACGGCUCACCUAGGCGACGAUCCCUAGCUGGUCUGAGAGGAUGACCAGCCACACUGGAACUGAGACACGGUCCAGACUCCUACGGGAGGCAGCAGUGGAGAAUAUUGCACAAUGGGCGCAAGCCUGAUGCAGCCAUGCCGCGUGUAUGAAGAAGGCCUUCGGGUUGUAAAGUACUUUCAGCGGGGAGGAAGGGAGUAAAGUUAAUACCUUUACUCAUUGACGUUACCCGCAGAAGAAGCACCGGCUAACUCCG
Molecule: ribosomal RNA, 486 nt
Filed under: uncultured bacterium
Lineage: Bacteria
Description: partial 16S ribosomal RNA
Rfam family: Bacterial small subunit ribosomal RNA
Source: RNAcentral